AUACGUAGGGUGCGAGCGUUGUCCGGAAUUACUGGGCGUAAAGAGCUCGUAGGUGGUUUGUCGCGUCGUCUGUGAAAUUCCGGGGCUUAACUCCGGGCGUGCAGGCGAUACGGGCAUAACUUGAGUACUGUAGGGGAGACUGGAAUUCCUGGUGUAGCGGUGAAAUGCGCAGAUAUCAGGAGGAACACCGGUGGCGAAGGCGGGUCUCUGGGCAGUAACUGACGCUGAGGAGCGAAAGCAUGGGUAGCGAACAGGAUUAGAUACCCUGGUAGUCCAUGCCGUAAACGGUGGGCGCUAGGUGUAGGGGUCUUCCACGACUUCUGUGC
Molecule: ribosomal RNA, 326 nt
Filed under: uncultured bacterium
Lineage: Bacteria
Description: partial 16S ribosomal RNA
Rfam family: Bacterial small subunit ribosomal RNA
Source: RNAcentral